CGCCGGAAGACCAAGGGUUCCUGUCCAACGUUAAUCGGGGCAGGGUGAGUCGACCCCUAAGGCGAGGCCGAAAGGCGUAGUCGAUGGGAAACGGGUUAAUAUUCCCGUACUUGGUGUUACUGCGAAGGGGGGACGGAGAAGGCUAUGUUGGCCGGGCGACGGUUGUCCCGGUUUAAGCGUGUAGGUGUGUGUUCCAGGUAAAUCCGGUUCACUUUAACACUGAGGCGUGACGACGAGGCACUACGGUGCUGAAGCAACAAAUGCCCUGCUUCCAGGAAAAGCCUCUAAGCAUCAGGUAACAUCAAAUCGUACCCCAAACCGACACAGGUGGUCAGGUAGAGAAUACCAAGGCGCUUGAGAGAACUCGGGUGAAGGAACUAGGCAAAAUGGUGCCGUAACUUCGGGAGAAGGCACGCUGACACGUAGGUGAAGUGAUUUACUCAUGGAGCUGAAGUCAGUCGAAGAUACCAGCUGGCUGCAACUGUUUAUUAAAAACACAGCACUGUGCAAACACGAAAGUGGACGUAUACGGUGUGACGCCUGCCCGGUGCCGGAAGGUUAAUUGAUGGGGUCAGCGCAAGCGAAGCUCCUGAU
Molecule: ribosomal RNA, 594 nt
Filed under: Salmonella enterica subsp. enterica
Lineage: Bacteria; Pseudomonadati; Pseudomonadota; Gammaproteobacteria; Enterobacterales; Enterobacteriaceae
Description: partial 23S ribosomal RNA
Rfam family: Bacterial large subunit ribosomal RNA
Source: RNAcentral